This 465-nucleotide ribosomal RNA is filed under the name Coniochaeta sp. RNAcentral's name for it is "LSU rRNA". It matches the Rfam family "Eukaryotic large subunit ribosomal RNA", at positions 74 to 551 of the family's 3401-position model. Lineage: Eukaryota; Fungi; Ascomycota; Sordariomycetes; Coniochaetales; Coniochaetaceae. The record is from RNAcentral.
AUUGCCCCAGUAACGGCGAGUGAAGCGGCAACAGCUCAAAUUUGAAAUCUGGCUUCGGCCCGAGUUGUAAUUUGUAGAGGAUGCUUUUGGUGCGGUGCCUUCUGAGUUCCCUGGAACGGGACGCCAGAGAGGGUGAGAGCCCCGUAUAGUUGGACACCAAGCCUUUGUAAAGCUCCUUCGACGAGUCGAGUAGUUUGGGAAUGCUGCUCUAAAUGGGAGGUAUAUCUCUUCUAAAGCUAAAUAUAGGCCAGAGACCGAUAGCGCACAAGUAGAGUGAUCGAAAGAUGAAAAGCACUUUGAAAAGAGGGUUAAAUAGUACGUGAAAUUGUUGAAAGGGAAGGGCUUGUGACCAGACUUGUGCCGGGCUGAUCAUCCACGGUUCUCCGUGGUGCACUCUGCCCGGCUCAGGCCAGCGUCGGUUCUGGCAGGGGGACAAAAGCUUAGGGAACGUGGCUCCUCCGGGAG